AUGGAGGAGCCAGGGCGCGACCCGGCCGGAGCUCGGGGAGCCCGCGCCAUGGCCUCGCCCGAGGCCGUGAGCUUCUACUGCCACACCUGCAGCUCCCGGUUGGAGCUCCCCUCCCCGUCCUCCCCCUUCCACUUCACCCUCUGCCCACGUUGCCGCCGGGACUACCUCGACGACUCCCCCGAGCCCCACCACGCGCCGCUGUCACCGCCGCCGCCGCCGCCGCCUCCACCACCCCUGUGCGCCGUACCCUGGCCGCCGGACCCGUUCACCUCUUCCACGCCACCGCCGCCUCCGACGAUCCCACGCGUCUCGUCGCCGUCCUCUUCUUUCACGACGGUGCGGCCGCGGACUCUGGUGUCCCCGCGCACAGGGCCCUUGUCUUCCUCCGCAAGGCCGCCUUCGACGUCGACCGCUCCCGUGUCGUCCUCCUACUGCCCCGAGCGCUCAGCGGCAUGUCGCGAAUUCCGGCUCCUUUGCGAGCAGCGCCGGUCCUCGCCCGCCGUCUCUCCCCUGUCGUCCCCGUACUCCACCGCCUGCUCCUCCCCUCUGUUGGCGUCGCCGCCUCCCCCGCCCCCGCCACCGUUCCACCGCGGCGAGCUGCUAUCCGAGUCGUUUCCUUUGACCUUGCGCUCGUCCACCGCCGAGGAGGCCAUGUCACCGCCUCAUGAUCUGCUUCCUCCCCCGCCCCCGCCGCUGUUCCACCGCGGCGAGUUACUAUCCGAGUCCUUUCCUUUGACCUUGCGCUCCUCCACCGCUGAGGAGACCACGUCACCGCCUCAUGAUCUGCUUCCUCCUCCGCCUCCGCCUUGGCUGCCGCUGGCGUCCGGUGGGACAUGGGAUGAAUUCCUCUUCAAUCCGUCCGACUCCGAUGACGACAGCCCGCCACAGCCUCCUCCGCCGCCGGAUGUAUCUACCUACCACGCCAUGUUCGACAUGCCGCUCCAAGUCCAAAGCGGUGUGUCACAAGCGGCGGCGGCGUCUAUUGCCGCCAACAACACGGUGUUCGAGUUCGACACGCCGCUUCAACGCGGCGGGUCACAAGCGGCGCCGCCGGAGUCCAUCGCCGCCCUGCCCACCGUCACCGUCACGGACGCCGGGCUGGACUGCGUCGUCUGCACCGACCCCCUCCCGCCCUCGGCGCCCGCGCGCCGGCUCCCCUGCGGCCACCUGUACCACUCCCACUGCAUCGUCACGUGGCUGUCCGAGCACAACUCCUGCCCAAUCUGCCGCCGCAGCAUCCUGACGAUCGUCUCCGCCACAAGCGACAUGGCGUCGUCGUCGGAGUCCCCCGCCGGGAGGCGAAGGCGAUCUCUGCCGGUGCCAGGGGGGCGCCGGAUCAGAAGGAUCUGCAGCAGGCUGCUUCGAAACAUGGAAAUCGGCCGCGAUCGUCAGACAAGCAGCAGCCGCGACCGCCAGACAAGCAGCGGCGGCGGCGAUGUGCAUGUCUGA
This 1449-nucleotide ribosomal RNA is filed under the name Triticum aestivum (bread wheat). RNAcentral describes it as "partial small subunit ribosomal RNA". Lineage: Eukaryota; Viridiplantae; Streptophyta; Magnoliopsida; Poales; Poaceae. The record is from RNAcentral.